AGCAGACUUACCACUGGUCUGGCCCUUCGAACAUGCUUAAAGCGCUGUUAUUGCCUGGGCCCCUGGAGGGAGGUCUUUCUCUGGAUGGUAUUAUGUAAGAGACUCUGGUCUUGAAAGCCACUUCCUAAUUUUCUUUGGGCCUUCAUUUCCUCACCUGUGAAGUGAAGGGGUCAGGAGAGACCCCCUUCUAUCUCUGAAAUGAUGUAAAGGGAGGAAGAGAGUUUGUUUUAGCAGCAACUUUUUGUUUGUCCGCACUUUUCCUUUCUGCUCUUUGGGCCAUGAUAAUUGAGAAUGGUGUCUUUUUACUUCCUUAAAUUCAGAAGUGAGCUUUUGAGAGUCCUCAAAGGAAAUCAACCUCAAGAUAAUUCUUUUGCUCCUGAUUGGUAAUGGGAAAAACCUUCAAGAAGAAUUCCUGCUUACAGACAUCUCUCUCUCUCUCUCUCUUUUUUUUUUCUUUGAGACAGAAUAUCACUCUGUUGCCCAGGCUGGAGGGCAGUGGCAUGAUCUCGGCCCACUGCAACCUCUGCCUGCUGGGUUCAAGCGAUUCUUGUGCCUCAGCCUCCUGAGCAGCUGGGAUCACAGGUGUGCGCUACCAUGACCUGUUAAUUUUUGUAUUUUUAGUAGAGACGGGGCUUCAUUCUGUUGGCCAGGGUAGUUUUGAACUCCUAACCUCAAGCAAUCCACCCUCCUCAGUCUCCCAAAGUGCUGGGAUUACAGGUGUGAGCCACUGUGCCUGGCCUAGACAUUUCUCUUGAUGUAUUAUGUCAUUUGGGUGGCUCUGUACCCCUGCAGGCUUGACCAAUCACAACGAAGUGGAAGCAUGAUUGGCAUGUUAUGAGCCCCUCCUCUUUCUUUAGAGGCUGCCUGCUGAGUAGAGUGGCCAGCAAGAGGUCAGAUACAAACUUCAGACAACAAGAUAGCCUUUUUUUUUGAGAUGGAGUCUCGCUCUGUCGCCCAGGCUGGAGUGCAGUGGCACAAUCUUGGCCCACUGCAACCUCUGCCUCCCAGGUUCAAGCGAUUCUCCUGCCUCAGCCCCCCCAAGUAGCUGGGAUUACAGGUGCGCACCACCACACCCAGCUAAUUUUUGUAUUUUUAGUAGAGACAGGGUUUCACCAUGUUGGCCAGGCUGGUCUUGAACUCUUGACCUCAGGUGAUUCACCCUCCUCAGCCUCCCAAAAGUGCUGGGAUUACAGGUGUGAGCCACCGCGCCCAGCCAUCAAGGUAGCUUUUAAAAAGCUGAGACCUUUGGGAAUGGAGUGAUGCGGGGUGGGGUGGCGGGGGUUAGGGUGUAUUCUUUUGCUUGUUGUUUCUGUUGUAACUUUGAGAAGAUUCUGAAAAAUAUGAGGGGAGUGAUGGCCGGGCAUGGUGGCUAGUGCCUGUAAUCCCAGCACUUUGGGAGGCUGAGGUGGGUAGAUCACUUGAGGCCAGGAGCUCCAGACCAGCCUGGCCAACAUGGUGAGACCCCCCUCUCUACUAAAAAUACAAAAAUUAGCUGGGCGUGGUAGCGCCCACCUGUAAUCCCAGCUACUCUGGAGGCUGAGGCACACGAAUCGAUUGAAUCCAGGAGGUGGAGGUUGCAGUGAGCCGAGAUCCGCUGCACUCCAGCCUGGGCGACAGAGUGAGACACUGUCUCAAAAAAAAAAGAGAGGAGAGUGAGGAAGGAAACUCAGAACAGAUACGUUUCAGCAAAGAGCAAGUCGACUGGGAUUUUUUCUAUAGUGGGUGUGUAAAUUUCAGACUUUAAAAUCCACUCAGUAAAACUGACAUCCCUGCUUAUUCACUUUUGCCGACUCUGCUAGAAGCCUCCUGAGUUUUGUUUACAAGGUCUCCGGCACACAGCCUGCCUUCUUUGAAAGGCCAGGCCAGGACCAGCCUGCCCAUCCCUUCUGUUCUCACUGGAUUUCGUGGCCAGUGGCCUGGACGUGACUAACAGAUGGCCAUUGCAGAGUUGAUCACCUGAUUUCAUGGCUUAUUCUUGGGAAAGCCUCUGAUUUUUUUACAGAAGGUUAUCCAUCCCUUGGUAAAUCCUUCCCCUUGUAUAGAUGGAGAAACUGAACAGGUACAGGUGUGCAUAUUUAGUGUUACCUUGGACAGGUGGAUGAUAUGUAUGCCAAGUCCUCCUUAGCUUGUGUUUAGCUAUGGUUUUGAUGCUUAUAACAGCUUUGGUCGUUCUAGCUCAUGGUCAUGAGCUCUUUCAGAGAGGCUGCUGGCUUAAGUGCCCGAUAGACUUUUUUUUGAAUGAAUGAAGAUCUAUCCGGAUUUCUAGCCACACUUUUCUUCAGGAGUGGGCUGCAGCUGGAGUGAGCACUAGGAACCUUUGCAGCUUAAGAAUUCAGAAACCCACACCAGCCAGCCUAAGCGGCAGCCAGUCUCCUAGGAGAGCUGGGUUCUGGCCUGCGACGUCCUCCACCUUUCGGAGGUCAACUCAGAAGGUGGUACCUGUCCAAGGGAGCGGGGCGCCCACCGCAGGGCAGAGUCAGGACGUUCUGACAGCCCCCGUCAGGCGGCUCGAGUGGAACUCCCGCCUGCAAUACUUGACCCUGCAAAGGCGAACCCGAGUGCCGGAGGUGCAGCGCCAGGAGGCCGGCCCAGCCCAACCGCCCGCGUCGGGGAAGACUGGGCCCUCAGAGCUUAUCCAGGCCAGCGGUCCUGCAGGCUCUGGGUCGGGGGUUCCCGGGUUCGUGCGCUUCAGGUCCUGGUCCUGGAGCGAGUGCAAACCCGGCAGACCGUGUGCCUGCUGCAAGGGACCUGGGGACCCGUUCCUGGCGUCGGGUGCAGAGUCGUCCCCCGUGGCCCGGGCGCCCCCGGGCUUCCGCGAGACGCCCCACGGGACCACACAAAAGACCCCACCCCAGGCCAGGCGCGCAUUUCCUGUUGCAGCGGUGGCGGCGUGCAGCCACCCAUGUGCAUCCCGCGGCGCGCGGGCCAGGCCGGGCCGGGCGGGGCGCGGGGCACGCCCCCACGCAGCCCCAGUCCCCGCGCUCCGGCCGCGAGGGGCCGCCCUCGGCUGGCCCGCCCCCGUGUCACCGCAGGCCGGGCUCCCUUUGUGUGCGGCCCCAGCGCCGCGGCCGCGCCAUUGGCCCGCCCGCCCGGGGGGCCAGCCCCUUCCUGGCUCGCCUUAUACAUAUGCAUAAGAGCCCCGGCCCUCCCCCGCCGGCCCCUCCCCGCCCCCUCCCGCGCGGGCGUGCGAGGCGCGCGGCGCGGCUCCCUCCUCGCGGCAGCGGGAGCCCGAGCCCGAGCCCGAGCCCGAGCCAGGGCGAGCCGAGCCUGCUCCGGGCGGGCGGCGGCGGCGGCGCCGCUCCAGCCAUGUCAGCGCGCGCGAGCCUGGGCCCACCAUGAGCCAUGGCCAUGUCCGUGAGCGCCGAGGACGACGACUAUGAAUCGGAGCCGGACCAGAACCGGGCUGUGGGUCGGCCCAAGGGGAAGCUCGGCCCGGCCUCCGCGGUGAAGUUGGCCGCCAAUCGGACAACCGCAGGAGCUCGGCGGCGCCGGACGCGAUGCCGCAAGUGCGAGGCCUGCCUGCGGACCGAGUGCGGAGAGUGCCACUUCUGCAAGGACAUGAAGAAGUUCGGGGGCCCCGGGCGCAUGAAGCAGAGCUGCAUCAUGCGGCAGUGCAUCGCGCCAGUGCUGCCCCACACUGCCGUGUGCCUUGUGUGUGGCGAGGCGGGGAAGGAAGACACGGUGGAAGAGGAGGAAGGCAAGUUUAACCUCAUGCUCAUGGAGUGCUCCAUCUGCAAUGAAAUCAUCCACCCUGGAUGCCUUAAGAUUAAGGAGUCAGAGGGUGUGGUCAACGACGAGCUUCCAAACUGCUGGGAGUGUCCGAAGUGUAACCACGCCGGCAAGACCGGGAAACAAAAGCGUGGCCCUGGCUUUAAGUACGCCUCCAACCUGCCCGGCUCCCUGCUCAAGGAGCAGAAGAUGAACCGGGACAACAAGGAAGGGCAGGAACCUGCCAAGCGGAGGAGUGAAUGUGAGGAGGCGCCCCGGCGCAGGUCGGAUGAGCACCCCAAGAAGGUGCCGCCGGACGGCCUCCUGCGCAGAAAGUCUGACGACGUGCACCUGAGGAAGAAGCGGAAAUACGAGAAGCCCCAGGAGCUGAGUGGGCGCAAG
Molecule: small RNA, 4110 nt
Filed under: Pongo abelii (Sumatran orangutan)
Lineage: Eukaryota; Metazoa; Chordata; Mammalia; Primates; Hominidae
Description: retained intron
Source: RNAcentral